Molecule: ribosomal RNA, 301 nt
Filed under: uncultured bacterium
Lineage: Bacteria
Description: partial 16S ribosomal RNA
Rfam family: Bacterial small subunit ribosomal RNA
Source: RNAcentral
CAGCCGCCGCGGUAAUACGAAGGGUGCAAGCGUUACUCGGAAUUACUGGGCGUAAAGCGUGCGUAGGCGGCUUGGUAAGUUAGAGGUGAAAGCCCGGAGCUCAACUCCGGAAUUGCCUUUAAGACUGCCGAGCUAGCAGGUGAGAGAGGUAAGUGGAAUUCCGAGUGUAGAGGUGAAAUUCGUAGAUAUUCGGAAGAACACCAGUGGCGAAGGCGGCUUACUGGCUCAUACUGGACGCUGAGGUGCGAAAGCGUGGGGAGCAAACAGGAUUAGAGACCCCGGUAGUCCCUGUCUCUUAAAC